This 76-nucleotide transfer RNA is filed under the name Lacisediminimonas sp. RNAcentral describes it as "tRNA-Thr". It matches the Rfam family "tRNA". Rfam says of the family: Transfer RNA (tRNA) molecules are approximately 80 nucleotides in length. Their secondary structure includes four short double-helical elements and three loops (D, anti-codon, and T loops). Lineage: Bacteria; Pseudomonadati; Pseudomonadota; Betaproteobacteria; Burkholderiales; Oxalobacteraceae. The record is from RNAcentral.
GCCGUUGUAGCUCAGUGCCAGAGCACCUGUCAGGUAAGCAGGAGGUCCGGUGGUUCAAAUCCCCGCAAUGGCACCA